UAGCCAUGCCGCGUGAGUGAUGAAGGCCUUAGGGUCGUAAAGCUCUUUCGCCUGUGAUGAUAAUGACAGUAGCAGGUAAAGAAACCCCGGCUAACUCCGUGCCAGCAGCCGCGGUAAUACGGAGGGGGUUAGCGUUGUUCGGAAUUACUGGGCGUAAAGCGCGCGUAGGCGGAUUAGAAAGUUGGGGGUGAAAUCCCGGGGCUCAACCCCGGAACUGCCUCCAAAACUGCUAGUCUAGAGUUCGAGAGAGGUGAGUGGAAUUCCGAGUGUAGAGGUGAAAUUCGUAGAUAUUCGGAGGAACACCAGUGGCGAAGGCGGCUCACUGGCUCGAUACUGACGCUGAGGUGCGAAAGUGUGGGGAGCAAACAGGAUUAGAUACCCUGGUAGUCCACACCGUAAACGAUGAAUGCCAGUCGUCGGAUAGUAUACUAUUCGGUGACACACCUAACGGAUUAAGCAUUCCGCCUGGGGAGUACGGUCGCAAGAUUAAAACUCAAAGGAAUUGACGGGG
This 511-nucleotide ribosomal RNA is filed under the name uncultured bacterium. Its description in RNAcentral is "bacterial SSU rRNA". It matches the Rfam family "Bacterial small subunit ribosomal RNA", at positions 389 to 918 of the family's 1533-position model. The record is from RNAcentral.